This 765-nucleotide long non-coding RNA is filed under the name Homo sapiens (human). RNAcentral describes it as "HSALNT0159193". The record is from RNAcentral. Lineage: Eukaryota; Metazoa; Chordata; Mammalia; Primates; Hominidae.
UGAAUUGUCUAGAGAGACUUGGUGGAGGAGGCCACGGCCCGCCUUGUCCCUGCCGGGUCCCGGCCAGGUGUGUGUGUGCCCCAGCUCGACUCUCGGUGGUCUCCAGGCUGCAGCAGAAGGAAUACCUUGGAAUUGGAUGCCGGCUGGCCCCCCUGAUGGUUCCUGGCCUAGGGGCUGUCAUGGCAGAGGGAAGCCACCAAGGGCCCUGUGCUAAUCACGAGUCUUUCCUGUUCGGAGCAGUGAGGCCUGAGACCCUCAACAGUGCUGUGUGUACAGAAGGCCCCCAGAAUCCACACAAAGGGGCCGCCUGAAACCUAGAGCAUUUGUGAAGGAGGAAAAUGGAAGGAACAACUGGAUGUUGUAAAUGUUUCUCAUCUGGCCUUAAAAUCCAUGAAAGCUGGAAAAUCACAAGGCAUCUGUGCAUAUACUGGUGGAUUUUAAUGAGAGUCCUGUGUUUGGAGCACCAGAAAUAAACCAGCUUCAGAAGCAAAGUUAACAGGAGGAGGAAGCAGAGCUAGAGAUGGAAGGAGACCCAGCCAGCCCGGGCUCCAGUGACAUCGGCUGGUACACGCUUUUGUUUGCUUACGCUUGUUGAACUGAGUUUUUCAUAUGUAACUAACGAAUACUGGCACAUGUGAGACUGGGCAUGAUUCAGAAAAGUUGGAAGAUCUAGAGAGGGAUCUUGCAAUCUGAAGUUUCUUGUUUAGUCACUGGAGGAUCUGAACGUCUAUGACACUCUUUCGAGCUGACACAGUGAAGAACAUA